GGCCUAACACAUGCAAGUCGAACGGUAACAGGAAGCAGCUUGCUGCUUUGCUGACGAGUGGCGGACGGGUGAGUAAUGUCUGGGAAACUGCCUGAUGGAGGGGGAUAACUACUGGAAACGGUAGCUAAUACCGCAUAACGUCGCAAGACCAAAGAGGGGGACCUUCGGGCCUCUUGCCAUCGGAUGUGCCCAGAUGGGAUUAGCUAGUAGGUGGGGUAACGGCUCACCUAGGCGACGAUCCCUAGCUGGUCUGAGAGGAUGACCAGCCACACUGGAACUGAGACACGGUCCAGACUCCUACGGGAGGCAGCAGUGGGGAAUAUUGCACAAUGGGCGCAAGCCUGAUGCAGCCAUGCCGCGUGUAUGAAGAAGGCCUUCGGGUUGUAAAGUACUUUCAGCGGGGAGGAAGGCGAUAAGGUUAAUAACCUUGUCGAUUGACGUUACCCGCAGAAGAAGCACCGGCUAACUCCGUGCCAGCAGCCGCGGUA
Molecule: ribosomal RNA, 488 nt
Filed under: Enterobacter hormaechei subsp. steigerwaltii
Lineage: Bacteria; Pseudomonadati; Pseudomonadota; Gammaproteobacteria; Enterobacterales; Enterobacteriaceae
Description: bacterial SSU rRNA
Rfam family: Bacterial small subunit ribosomal RNA
Source: RNAcentral